ACUCCUACGGGAGGCAGCAGUGGGGAAUAUUGCACAAUGGGCGCAAGCCUGAUGCAGCCAUGCCGCGUGUAUGAAGAAGGCCUUCGGGUUGUAAAGUACUUUNCAGCGGGGAGGAAGGGAGUAAAGUUAAUACCUUUGCUCAUUGACGUACCCGCAGAAGAAGCCCCGUAUC
This 172-nucleotide ribosomal RNA is filed under the name uncultured bacterium. Its description in RNAcentral is "partial 16S ribosomal RNA". It matches the Rfam family "Bacterial small subunit ribosomal RNA", at positions 335 to 499 of the family's 1533-position model. The record is from RNAcentral.